RNAcentral lists this long non-coding RNA (273 nucleotides) under Physcomitrium patens. RNAcentral's name for it is "long non-coding RNA (PPAT_LNC014632)". The record is from RNAcentral. Lineage: Eukaryota; Viridiplantae; Streptophyta; Bryopsida; Funariales; Funariaceae.
UUGGUAUGUCUAAUAAAUCAACUAAGAGAACAACCAUGUUGAAUGCUUGUAGAUUGUAGCUCCACAAAAAAUUGCAUCUUGAUUGAGAUUGUCGAAUAACUUGGAAUUAAAAUCAAGGUGCUAAAAAGAAAAAAAUGUAUACUUAGCAAAUAAUGAAGAGAACAUAUUGAAUCAGACAUAUAAAAAAGAAACCUUGAGGUUGAAUGACACUUAUAUCUUAAAAGAAAAGUUUAGGAUAAUAAAGCUUAGUUAUGAUGUUAUCUUUGGUAUGCC